CCUACGGGAGGCAGCAGUCGAGAAUCAUUCACAAUGGGGGAAACCCUGAUGGUGCGACGCCGCGUGGGGGAAUGAAGGUCUUCGGAUUGUAAACCCCUGUCAUGUGGGAGCAAAUUAAAAAGAUAGUACCACAAGAGGAAGAGACGGCUAACUCUGUGCCAGCAGCCGCGGUAAUACAGAGGUCUCAAGCGUUGUUCGGAAUCACUGGGCGUAAAGCGUGCGUAGGCUGUUUCGUAAGUCGUGUGUGAAAGGCGCGGGCUCAACCCGCGGAGGGCAGAUGAUACUGCGAGACUAGAGUAGUGGAGGGGGAAGCGGAAUGCGCGGUGUAGCAGUGAAAUGCGUAGAUAUCGCGAGGAACACUGGUGGCGAAGGCGGGUUCCUGGACAUUAACUGACGCUGAGGCACGAAGGCCAGGGGAGCGAAAGGGAUUAGAUACCCUUGUAGUC
Molecule: ribosomal RNA, 446 nt
Filed under: uncultured bacterium
Lineage: Bacteria
Description: partial 16S ribosomal RNA
Rfam family: Bacterial small subunit ribosomal RNA
Source: RNAcentral